RNAcentral lists this non-coding RNA (121 nucleotides) under Gordonia rhizosphera. Its description in RNAcentral is "SAM-IV sequence". It matches the Rfam family "SAM (S-adenosyl methionine) riboswitch aptamer". Rfam says of the family: SAM-IV is a mRNA element that regulates gene expression via direct sensing of S-adenosylmethionine (SAM or AdoMet). SAM-IV riboswitches share conserved nucleotide positions with the previously described SAM-I riboswitches sequence analysis and molecular recognition experiments suggest that SAM-I and SAM-IV riboswitches share similar ligand binding sites, but have different scaffolds. RNAcentral also lists the same sequence under 1 other name. Lineage: Bacteria; Bacillati; Actinomycetota; Actinomycetes; Mycobacteriales; Gordoniaceae. The record is from RNAcentral.
GGUCAUGAGUAUCAGCGUGAAGCCCCGGCUUGCUGAUCGGCAACCCUCCAUCCGCGGUGGGGUGCUCCGGGUGAUGACCGGGUCGAGGAACGCACAUCGCAUUCCUUGGCAAGCGCGGGUC